This 334-nucleotide unclassified non-coding RNA is filed under the name soil metagenome. RNAcentral's name for it is "partial contains 5.8S ribosomal RNA, internal transcribed spacer 2, and large subunit ribosomal RNA". The stretch from base 1 to 120 matches the Rfam family "5.8S ribosomal RNA", at positions 35 to 154 of the family's 154-position model. The record is from RNAcentral.
GAUGAAGAACGUAGUGAAAUGCGAUACGUAAUGUGAAUUGCAGAUUUCAGUGAAUCAUCGAAUCUUUGAACGCACAUUGCGCCCGCUAGUAUUCUGGCGGGCAUGCCUGUUCGAGCGUCAUUUCAACCAUCAAGCCCUGUGCUUGUGUUGGAGCCCUGCGGCUGCCGCAGGCUCCCAAACCCAGUGGCGGGCUCGUCGUCGUACCGAGUGCAGUAAACAUACCACGCUCAGGGCACGCGACGGGUGACCGGCCGUAAAACCCCCCCCUUCUCAAGGUUGACCUCGGAUCAGGUAGGAAUACCCGCUGAACUUAAGCAUAUCAAUAAGCGGAGGA